RNAcentral lists this ribosomal RNA (468 nucleotides) under uncultured bacterium. Its description in RNAcentral is "partial 16S ribosomal RNA". It matches the Rfam family "Bacterial small subunit ribosomal RNA", at positions 28 to 507 of the family's 1533-position model. The record is from RNAcentral.
GACGAACGCUGGCGGCGUGCUUAACACAUGCAAGUCGAACGGAAAGGCCCUGCUUUUGUGGGGUGCUCGAGUGGCGAACGGGUGAGUAACACGUGAGUAACCUGCCCUUGACUUUGGGAUAACUUCAGGAAACUGGGGCUAAUACCGGAUAGGAGCUCCUGCUGCAUGGUGGGGGUUGGAAAGUUUCGGCGGUUGGGGAUGGACUCGCGGCUUAUCAGCUUGUUGGUGGGGUAGUGGCUUACCAAGGCUUUGACGGGUAGCCGGCCUGAGAGGGUGACAGGCCACACUGGGACUGAGAUACGGCCCAGACUCCUACGGGAGGCAGCAGUGGGGAAUAUUGCACAAUGGGCGGAAGCCUGAUGCAGCAACGCCGCGUGCGGGAUGACGGACUUCGGGUUGUAAACCGAUUUCGCCUGUGACGAAGCGUGAGUGACGGUAAUGGGUAAAGAAGCACCGGCUAACUACGUG